UCCCCGUUACCGGGGCAGUCUGAAUAGAAAAAUACAACUAUUCACAAGGGUUGCGCUCGUUGAUGGACUUAACCAAACAUCUCACGACACGAGCUGACGACGGCCAUGCAUCACCUGUCACUUGGCUCAAUAAAGCACUCUCUACUUUCAUAGAAAUUCCAAGGAUGUCAAACCCUGGUAAGGUGGGGAUGACGUUAGUGACCUUUGC
RNAcentral lists this unclassified non-coding RNA (208 nucleotides) under uncultured bacterium. RNAcentral's name for it is "contains 16S-23S intergenic spacer region". The record is from RNAcentral.